AUUGAACGCUGGCGGCAGGCUUAACACAUGCAAGUCGAGCGAGCGGCGGACGGGUGAGUAAUGUCUGGGAAACUGCCUGAUGGAGGGGGAUAACUACUGGAAACGGUAGCUAAUACCGCAUACCAUCAGAUGUGCCCAGAUGGGAUUAGCUUGUAGGUGGGGUAAUGGCUCACCUAGGAGGCGAUCCCUAGCUGGUCUGAGAGGAUGACCAGACAAACUGGUACUGAGACACGGCCCAGACUCCUACGGUAGGCAGGAGUGGGGAAUUGUGUACAAUGGGGGAAACCCUGAUCCAGCCAUCCCGCGUGUGCGAUGAAGGCCUUCGGGUUGUAAAGCACUUUUGGCAGGAAAGCGGUACCUGCAGAAUAAGCACCGGCUAACUACGUGCCAGCAGCGGCGGUAAUUC
Molecule: ribosomal RNA, 406 nt
Filed under: uncultured bacterium
Lineage: Bacteria
Description: partial 16S ribosomal RNA
Rfam family: Bacterial small subunit ribosomal RNA
Source: RNAcentral